ACUACUCAUCAACCUGGUUUGGCUGGAGGAAAACGGUGGGGGAGAGAGAGAGAGAGAGAGUUCAACUCUAGAGAAAGGGUGAGCAAGAAAUUGAAGACAAAAGGAAGAAACUCAAAGCUUGAUCAAGAAACUCAACAAAUUGAAGAUUUUAGGUGGACGUUCGAGGCCUUAUAUCGACUUAACCCACAGUGAGCAAACUAAGCAAUAAGGAUAGAUAAAGCCUCGGAGUCUACCCGUGUCAGCCUUUUGAAGAGCUUCCGGAAUGGAGCAAGUUACGCUUGAGUAGAGCCAAGAAAAUUAGCCCUUAGCUUUUUCAGAGUUUUGUAUUUUGCUGAGUCUUAAAGGUAUAUGUGUGUGAGAUAUGUAAGAUUUGUAUUCGUAUAUAAUUAUCAUUGUAUCAUGUAGCUAUAAGCUCAAUGGACAUUUUUAUUUUUGCUUUGCUUCCGCUUGAGGCCCUGAUAUGAUUAUAAAUAUUUUGAAAUUUUGUCUUUGAGGCUGAAGGUAAUCUAGGAUUACUGGCCUAUCACGACGCUAAACCUAUAGAGAUGGGUCUGGGUCAUGAUAGAGUGGUAUCAGAGCACGAGUUAAUAUCUCAUGCACAUGUCCAUUGAGCAUUAGAAUGUCUAAAACAGAUUUAAGUUUCAUGCACAUAGUAGGUAAGUGAUGAGUUGUGCAUUUACAGAAAUGUAUGUGUGUUUGUUGAACAAUUUGAGUAUUGAA
Molecule: long non-coding RNA, 720 nt
Organism: Camellia sinensis
Lineage: Eukaryota; Viridiplantae; Streptophyta; Magnoliopsida; Ericales; Theaceae
Source: RefSeq, a predicted model, not a curated record